Long non-coding RNA from Zea mays, 954 nucleotides. RefSeq lists it as uncharacterized. The record is from RefSeq and is marked validated. Lineage: Eukaryota; Viridiplantae; Streptophyta; Magnoliopsida; Poales; Poaceae. The transcript has 6 exons.
CUCGUUCUUCUCGCUCCGUUCCUCUUUCCCUCCUCCCCUCCGUCUUGGUUCUUCACACCUGGUUCUUCUGUCUCCCGUUGUCUCUAUCGUCUGCUCCGGUGAACCCGCAUCGUUCCUAUUCCUUGUGCUGCUUCCGUCGUCGGCUCCAGUAAAUCACUUUGUUCGCCAGCUCGAGAUCGUGGACGGCUUGCUAAAAUCAGUUACCAUAAACAUGAGAGCAUUCUCAGUGACAAAUAGAGCAUUUUCUAUUCUCUCUAUAUUAACAAACCAUGGAAGACAAUCCUCAGUACCAUCUUCCCUACUUACCUACCCCGAACAACAUCUUAUCACAAGAUGACGUACUUGGCCUUACAACCACGCACCAGCGACAUCAUUUUCCAAAUUAUCCACUUCUAGCAGCCAAACAAACAUGGCCCGACGAUUGCUAGCAUAUCCCGGUGUGCCACAGAAUACAGAGGCGGAUGAACACUACACAGAUCAACUUAACAAGAAGGAGCUAUCCUCACCAUCGAAAAUGAUGAAGCACACCCAAGUUGACAAAGUCCUAGAUUCUAUAAUUCCAGAAAAAUGAAGCUUGUUACAUCCUCAUGACAUGCAUGAAGGAAUUUGCUUUUGCGUAUCUGUGGAGGGCUUCGUCACUUUUGAAUGAAAAAACAUCUAUGUACAUAUAAAUCACUUGGUGAAGCCUUUCUCAGGCAUGUGUGUUGAUGCAACCUCUGGGAAACAAAUGCUAUCAGCUGCUGACAUAUGCUACUUCAAUACUGCUUGAUAUGUAUUGCACUCUCAGUUCCGUCUACUGUUGGUCCAAACUGCAUCUGUGUAUAUACAGACGAGUUGUAUUAAACUUUCUAAAUCUGUGUAUACUAAUGCAACCUCUUGAAAACAGUUGUUAGCCCUUGACACGUAUGCUAUUUUAAUGCUACUUAAUAUGUAUUGCAAUUUGGUUUUCCUGUA